RNAcentral lists this ribosomal RNA (402 nucleotides) under uncultured Eubacteriales bacterium. Its description in RNAcentral is "uncultured Clostridiales bacterium partial 16S ribosomal RNA". It matches the Rfam family "Bacterial small subunit ribosomal RNA", at positions 355 to 774 of the family's 1533-position model. The record is from RNAcentral. Lineage: Bacteria; Bacillati; Bacillota; Clostridia; Eubacteriales.
UGGGGAAUAUUGGGCAAUGGGCGCAAGCCUGACCCAGCAACGCCGCGUGAAGGAAGAAGGUCUUCGGAUUGUAAACUUUUGUUGUCGGAGAAGAAAUUGACUGUAACCGACGAGAAAGCCCCGGCUAACUACGUGCCAGCAGCCGCGGUAAUACGUAGGGGGCAAGCGUUAUCCGGAAUUACUGGGCGUAAAGGGCGCGUAGGCGGCAUAUUAAGUUAGAUGUGAAAAACCCAGGCUCAACCUGGGAGUUGCAUUUAAAACUGAUAAGCUUGAGUGCAGGAGAGGGAAGCGGAAUUCCUAGUGUAGCGGUGAAAUGCGUAGAUAUUAGGAGGAACAUCGGUGGCGAAGGCGGCUUUCUGGACUGUAACUGACGCUGAGGCGCGAAAGCGUGGGGAGCAAACA